UGCAGCUGUGAGAAUACAUAUAUACACACUCAUUCUCUCACUCACACCGAGGUUAUGGAAAACAACUGAAAACUACAUUACCCGAGCCUCCGGUGAGGUAACACAAGCCUCCAGUGAAGUGACCUGAGCCUCCAGUGAGACAACCCGAGCCUCCUCUGAGAUGACUUGAGCCUCCAGUGAGGUGAUCUGAGCCUUUGGUGAGGUGACCUGAGCCUCCAGUGAGGUAACAUGAGCCUCCAGUGAUGUCUCACGUAUCAGACUACAAGUUCUUCAGCUCUGGGACUCAAGCUGGCUUCCUCUCUCCUCAGCUUGCAGACAGCCUAUUGUGAGACUUUGUGAGCAUUCAGAUCACACCUCCCCUUUUACAGAUAACAUUGCUUGAAGGAAGACAGAACUAUGCUACUCAAGAAUCAUGACGAACAGAUCAUAUAGACAGGGGUUUGCAGUGUUGCCCAGACUGAAAUGCAGUUUUGUGACCUCAGCUCACCACAACCUCCACCUCCUGCUCCUGCCUCAGCCUCUUGAGUAGCUGGGAUUACAGGCACGCAACCACACCAAGCUAACGUUUGUACUUCAGUAGAGAAAAGGUUUCAUCCUUUUCGCCAGGCUGGGCUGAAACUCCUGACCUCAAGUUAUCUACAUUCUUUGGACUCCCAAAGUGUUAGGAUUGCAAGCAUGAGUCACCACACCUGGCUCCAACCCAGAUUUUUAAGGCUCUCCCAAGGAUAAUUUCCUUAAAGCACAAACUAGUUUAUGUCUGUUGAUUAACAUUCUUUUAUGAAUUUCUCCAGUUUUCAGAAUAAAAUAUUGUAUUUUACUUUUAUUUUCAGAAGAAGCAAAAUUCUUUGUGUAAUUGUGCCUGUUUAAGCUUUAGUCUCUUCUUGUUAGUCACCUAAAUAUGCCUGUAUGCUUUGGUCAACCUGGAAAUUUCCUUAUGACUUUUCAUACUGUACUACCCUCUAAUUGUAAUGCACUCCUGCUGAAG
Molecule: long non-coding RNA, 985 nt
Organism: Callithrix jacchus (white-tufted-ear marmoset)
Lineage: Eukaryota; Metazoa; Chordata; Mammalia; Primates; Cebidae
Source: RefSeq, a predicted model, not a curated record